UGGCCUUGACAUAGUAGAAACUUUCCAGAGAUGGAAAGGUGCCUUCGGGAAUCUACAUACAGGUGCUGCAUGGCUGUCGUCAGCUCGUGUCGUGAGAUGUUGGGUUAAGUCCCGCAACGAGCGCAACCCUUUUCCUUACUUGCCAGCAUUUCGGAUGGGAACUUUAAGGAUACUGCCAGUGACAAACUGGAGGAAGGCGGGGACGACGUCAAGUCAUCAUGGCCCUUACGGCCAGGG
Molecule: ribosomal RNA, 237 nt
Filed under: uncultured bacterium
Lineage: Bacteria
Description: partial 16S ribosomal RNA
Rfam family: Bacterial small subunit ribosomal RNA
Source: RNAcentral